RNAcentral lists this long non-coding RNA (3797 nucleotides) under Eutrema salsugineum. RNAcentral describes it as "long non-coding RNA (ESAL_LNC001127)". The record is from RNAcentral. Lineage: Eukaryota; Viridiplantae; Streptophyta; Magnoliopsida; Brassicales; Brassicaceae.
GUUCAUCCAGAGGGGAAGUAUGUUGUUGAUAUUGACAAAAGCAUAGAUAUAACGAAGAUCACCCCAUCAACGAGAGUCGCUCUUCGUAAUGAUAGCUAUGUUCUCCACCUGGUCCUGCCAAGUAAAGUAGAUCCAUUGGUUAACCUUAUGAAAGUUGAGAAGGUUCCAGACUCCACAUAUGACAUGAUUGGUGGUCUUGACCAGCAAAUUAAGGAAAUAAAAGAGGUAUGUCUAGUGAAAUAAAAAACGAAGCUAUAAAUCACUGGUUUAUUGGCAUUGCACUCUGUUGUUUCAUGCUUUUACUUUCGUUAUAAUAUUUUUUUUUGUUCAACAGGUCAUUGAGCUCCCAAUCAAGCAUCCUGAAUUGUUUGAGUCUCUUGGAAUUGCGCAGCCAAAGGUAAAUAUGCAUUUUGAAGCUUCUUCUUUGUAUUGUAACAACGUUAAGUGGAUUAGAGAUGAUUUCAUAUCCCUCUCUUUCUAGGGUGUGUUGUUAUACGGUCCACCUGGAACUGGAAAGACACUUUUGGCUCGAGCUGUGGCACAUCACACUGAUUGUACGUUCAUCAGAGUUUCUGGUUCCGAGCUGGUCCAGAAGUACAUUGGAGAAGGCUCUAGAAUGGUCAGAGAACUUUUUGUGAUGGCAAGGUUUGUAUGCUAACUCGUAUUUUAAAAUUUCAAGUAUUGUAAAUGGUGGUGUGUAGGAAAAGAUGGAAUUGUUGACGAGAUUAAUCUUUUUACUUGUCCACAUUUAGUAUCUGAGAUGGACUUGUGGUUAUCAAUAAAUUGAGGAAUGCGAUAUUUCUUGCUACUAUGAAUAUGGUUCCAUGGUGUAGCAAUCUCAAGGAAGAAUAUCUUCUGUAGAUUAGUACAUUAACGUGCCUAGCAUUUUGGCCACAGUACCAAAUCGUAUAUAAGGAGCAAAGGACACAUAGAUGAGAUGAUUGUGUUGAAAUUUACUUUUGCCCGUUGGCUUACAUUCGUAUUGCUGAAUGGUUUAUGGUUUUCAGGGAGCAUGCACCAUCAAUCAUCUUCAUGGAUGAAAUCGAUAGCAUCGGGUCAGCUCGUAUGGAAUCUGGAAGUGGCAAUGGUGACAGCGAGGUUCAACGGACUAUGCUUGAGCUUCUCAACCAACUUGACGGAUUCGAAGCGUCAAACAAAAUUAAGGUACGCGUUAAGCUGUAAAGGAAAAUAAAAAUCACGAAGCUGAAAAGGAAGAGUUUUUGUUUCUUAGAGUAAAUUUGCAGACAAACUCAUUUAUCAUCUCAAAUGACUGUUGCAGGUUUUGAUGGCAACAAAUCGAAUUGAUAUUCUGGAUCAAGCUCUUCUCAGGCCAGGAAGGAUUGACAGGAAAAUUGAAUUCCCUAAUCCUAAUGAAGACGUAAGCUUGCGCUUAUUUUGUAAAUUAUGGACUUACUCGUGAAGAUAGGCUGUAGAACAUGUUUGGCUAAUGUAUAUUUCUAAAAUUUGUUGCAGUCACGUUUUGAUAUCUUGAAAAUUCACUCGAGGAAAAUGAAUUUGAUGCGGGGAAUUGAUCUGAAAAAGAUUGGAGAGAAGAUGAAUGGUGCUUCAGGUGCUGAAUUGAAGGUAAAGUGUUUUUGUUCCCCUGAUUCUCUCUCGCUCGGUCUCUCUCUCUCUCUCUCUCUAAAAUUUGUCUCCGUCUUAAUGUGUUUGGUUACUACGGUCAGGCUGUGUGCACAGAGGCGGGCAUGUUUGCGCUGCGGGAGAGGAGAGUACACGUGACGCAGGAAGACUUUGAGAUGGCGGUGGCUAAGGUUAUGAAGAAAGACACAGAGAAGAACAUGUCUCUACGUAAGCUCUGGAAGUAGGAAUCUCUCACUGUUGCCUUGCUCAAAGGAGAGCCACAGAUUGAUUUCAGACCUAAGAAAUUAGUGCUUCUUUACUGUCUGUUGUUCUUUCUGAAACCAUUUCGGUUUGUUCUUUAAGCAUUUGAAAACAAAGUUUUUACUGCCUAAACAGUAGUUUGUUAUAUUCAAGUGUUCUCCCAAGCAUAACAGUUUCGAUUUAAACAAACAAGCAUCUACAUUUAGUAUUUGUUUCCCCAACCGAGUCAUUAGAUUACCUCACUAUUAUUAAGUAGAAAUUUCCAUACGGAUGCGCCAGCAUAUCAAGGGCAUGCCAUUGGGGGCAAUUCGAAAGUUUAGUCAGACGAACCAACAGUUGUAGUCGACACUUUGGUCUGACGAUCAGAAAAUGAAACAAAGAGACAAGGCACCUUCUCCGGAGAAGGCAGUGACCAUAAAAAAAUAAUAUAUAGGUUAAAGUAUAUUAUAUAUAAUUAAAAAAAUAUAAAUUGAGUAAAAAGGGAAAAAAAUCAUUAACCAAAAAAACUUUAUAUAAAGGCUUCAUGUCUCCAAUCUUGUACACGAUAUAAGUCGAUUAUAUUUCAACAAACUUUUUUUUUCAAUUAGAAACAAAUAAAACCAAAUAUGGUAAAAAAUCGUAAUACCGAAUACAAUAUUUUCGUAGUUUUCCCUGAAUUAAACUGAUAAUUUCGCCGAGCAAAGAAAACAGUAUUCCUAUGACAAAACCAAGAUUUUUUUUUCCCAAAAAAAAAAAAUAAUUGAACAAGAAAGGAGAUUUCUUGUUGGAUAAUUCAAGUUUCUUUUCUUGUUGGAUAAUUCAAGUUUCUUAUUUAUAUUGGGGUUUAUUAGCUUAAAAUGCUCUCGUCGUCUCUGUGAUCCAUCUUCGCAAAUACUAGAGAGAUAUUUGUCCGAUAAUUUGCGCAACCACCGAAGAUAUGGCGGCCGUAGGAGUAGAGGGGAGGCCUCCUGGGACAGCGAUGGAGGAAACCUGCAACGUCAAGGGAACGGUGGCGAAACAAGGGGAGGGGCUUAAGCAAUACUAUCUCCAGCACAUCCAUGAGAACCAGCGACUGCUCCGGCAGAAGACUAACAAUCUCAAUCGCCUUGAAGCUCAGAGGAAUGAGCUCAAUUCUCGAGGUCUUUUCUUCCUUCCUUAGCCCUAAUUUCUUCCUAUUUCUCUCGAAUUUCGGACGGAUCUCUUUGUUAGAUUGGAUGUUUUGAUCAUGUUCUUGGUUUAGUAACUUCGAUUACGUUCUACCUGGAGUUGGGUGCUCAUAAAUUUCUUAUUUGUUGUGGUGAUUGAUGGGAUAGUGGUUUUCCGAUCUGAAAGUGGUUGGGUGGCGAUAGGAUCGUCUUUGUUGCUAUCAUUCAUCUCCUGUGUUGGAUAGUUGGAUCUUUAUGAACUAAAUUUCGAAACCUCUUUGACACUACACAGUACGAAUGCUCAGAGAAGAGUUGCAGCUGCUUCAAGAACCUGGGUCCUAUGUGGGUGAAGUCGUAAAAGUGAUGGGAAAAAACAAGGUCUUGGUUAAGGUAUGAAUCCUAGAUAACUUAUUGUCUAAGAUUAACUGGGCUUUGAAUUUUUGAUGUAAUCUUAUGAACACUGCUUUCAAUAAGGCUUAAACUCCCAUUAUACAGGUUCAUCCAGAGGGGAAGUAUGUUGUUGAUAUUGACAAAAGCAUAGACAUAACGAAGAUCACCCCAUCAACGAGAGUCGCUCUUCGUAAUGAUAGCUAUGUUCUCCACCUGGUCCUGCCAAGUAAAGUUGAUCCGUUGGUUAACCUUAUGAAAGUUGAGAAGGUUCCAGACUCCACAUAUGACAUGAUUGGUGGUCUUGACCAGCAAAUUAAGGAAAUAAAGGAGGUAUGCCUAGUGAAAGAACAAACAAAGCUAAAAGUCAUUGGUUUGUCGGCAUUGUGCUCUGUUAUUUCAUGCUUUUAGUUUCGUUAUAAUAUUUUUUUUUGUUCAUCAGGU